UCAACGGACCAAUAAAAAUUU
This 21-nucleotide non-coding RNA is filed under the name Caenorhabditis elegans. Lineage: Eukaryota; Metazoa; Nematoda; Chromadorea; Rhabditida; Rhabditidae. The record is from RNAcentral.